RNAcentral lists this long non-coding RNA (7431 nucleotides) under Nicotiana benthamiana. Its description in RNAcentral is "long non-coding RNA (NBEN_LNC011078)". Lineage: Eukaryota; Viridiplantae; Streptophyta; Magnoliopsida; Solanales; Solanaceae. The record is from RNAcentral.
AAGUAGAAUCGGCGCAACCCCCUUGCCUAUAUUUCUCCAUUUUUGAGAUGACGGAACCCUCCCUUAUAAGAACCCGAUGCCAUCACCUCCAUCCUCAUUUUCUCUGAAGAAUAAAAAUGCCUCUCAUUCUCACAAUUCACACACCUCAACCCCUCACUCAUAAAACACACAUAUCGGAAGUCAAUUGAAAAAGAAGGAGAAGCUAUUAACUAAAUCUUAGAUCUGUAAUCCGAAAAUUUCACAAAAAGAGAAGAUAGAAGACCAAGCUUCAUUCUUGUUCGACAUUGCCACUUUCCUCUUUCAUAUUCUGGGUUCUAGAUGUUGUUGUGGUUGAAAACGUGGCCCUGUUCUUUGUUUGGAUCUGCUGAUUUUGCUAUUAAGGACCAUAAGUGUGGGUCCACAGGUGCGAGGUCAGGUCCACAUCAACCGGAACCUAUAUAAAGGUUCCGUCGUGAUUUUUUCCUGUUCUUUCACCAUUUUCAUCCAGAUUUUGAGCUUUUUGGUAGGUUUUUGAGAGAGGAUUCAAGAGAGCAUCAUGGAGGUAAGAUUUUGGAACCUAAACUCGUUAUGGUAUUUUUAUCAUUGUAAGCCUGAAAUGUGAAGGAAAAUUGGUGAUAAAUUGGGCGUUAGGGUUUGGUUAAUUAGAGAGCUUGAGUGAUGAUUUGAGGGACCAUCUAAGGUCCGAAUUUGGUACUUUUGGUAUGAAUGAACUCGUGAGAGGGUGAGGAUUCUAAAUUUUAAAAUUUUAUCCAAUUUCGAGAGGUGGGCUCGUGGGGGCAUUGAUCACGCCUAAUUCUACUCCUAAUAAGGAUAAGCGGUUGCUACAAAUAUAAUCUGGUCUAAAAGCCCGAAGGUGAACCCCACAGAAAACUAAGGCUUAGCUAUAUCUAUUUAAUCACCAAGAAGACAAGUUUGAAUAAUUUUCUAAAUUAUAAAUAUUGAGAUUUAUAUUUCUAACUAAUUAACUAGCAAAUACUACAAAGCGGUAAAAUUAUCAACUAAGAAAACAAAGGGUUGGAGACUAAAUUAAGGAGGUCUAGAGCUAUGAUUUCCCCAAUUGUCAGAAUCCUUCAAGCGAUGUUCCCUAUAAUUUUUGCCAAUGUAUUCUCUACUGAUCAUGAGCACUUUAGGUGCCGUAAUUCUCUCUCGAGCAACCACAACAAUUUACUAGACAUAUUCUCUCAAACUAUACUAGUUGACUUUAUCUAAUAACUGAUUAUGAUCACGUCAAGGCUUUGUAAUUUCUAAACCUGCCUUUAAACCCGAUGUAUUGAUUUCUCACAUAUAUUAGGAGUGGCGUUGUUCAACAACCACCUAAAUAUGUAUCGUUUCUCAAGAAACACAUAAUAAAUAGGCAAAGUCAAUCGAUGGCUAUUCAAUCAACAACAAUAAACACGUAGUUGAACAAGUAGAGAAAUCCAACGACUUAAUUAUAUAAAAACUUAACAAGAAUUUAUCCUACAAAAAGUUCGAUCAAAACCCUAGAUAAAAAAUAAUAUAUUCAUAAUAUCAUGUAAAACUACAAUGCUAAAAGUCAUAAGCAACAAUGAAAAAAAAGGAAGAGGAAGGAAACUCGUAAAAGAAUUCUCCGCCUUGCUCUUAUUAUGUCUUUGCCUCCUUAGGUCGAAUUAGUGUCAAAAAUCGGUCUCCUCCCCUCAAAAUACCAUUUUUCAAUGUAUAUAUACCAAGUAGGGCCGGGAACUCCUAUGCGGAAAAGGACAUGUUUUCAGGCCUGGAUGGCCACGGUCCGGGCACGGCACAGACAUGAUAUUUGGCAAGUAUACUGCCUUAAACCGUCUUAGGUCCUCGGUCGUGGAUUUGACCGUGUUUUUCAUGCUGUUUCAUUUGGAAUUUCAAAAAACAUAAAUUUGAAAGUUGUAACCCUUUGAAUUAGAUUUUCAACCAUAUAUUAUGGAGCCCAAAUGGAGUUCUAAGCGAAAUAUGUGCAUUUUCCUAGAUAAAACGCAACAUGCCUACUCGAUUCUUCUUUUUGUUGCUCCAUCAUAAGUUGAACCCCGAAUAUGACCCCCCCUUAAAUCCUUGGGAUUUUACUCAGACUUCAAAGUUUCAAAUCACUUGAGUUCAUUCUAUAACAUAUAUAUAGCACAAAAUUACUCCUACAAGUCAUAAACACACACAAUUAGUGUAAGACACUAGAGAUUAAAGCUCAAACUCAAUUAAAGUGUAGUAAAUUUGAUGGUAAUAAGCGACUAAAUACGUAAUUAUAGCCUAUCAUAAAUACCCCACACUUAAGCCAUUGCUUGUUCUCGAGAAAUCAAACUACACUUUUUUAUAGACACGAUAUUUUUAAACAAUUCUCCUAACUUAUCACACCAAGAGUAUCUAAAAUAGACUAAGUACGAAACCGUAACAUAUUCAUCUCAAGAUUUGACUUACAAGUACCACGUAUUAUUCACAACUCACACACUUACUCUAACAUAGAGUUCACUAACAAUAGCUUUCCUUCAUGAAUCAAGUGCCCUCACACAAUAAAAGAGAGUAGUUUCAUACAAUAAAAUUUAAGAACACUUAUGAACUCAAGAUAGAAAGAAUUUACUCACUCUCAAAAAUAACAUUCAUAUGCCACAAAAGAUGCACCAUAAGCUUGACUGUAGUGUACUACUCCACUAAUCGAGCUCAUUCAAUCUAGGAUCAAUUAGGACUUUAUUUGGUUGUAAUGUAGGCUACGUGACGGGUAGGAUAGAUAUAAGAGUGACUAUACCAUCCUAAGAACUUUAAUAGGUAAGACUUGUAAUGUGCCAAAGAAACAUGAUUACAUGCUCAAAGGGGUAACUAUGAUAUAUAAUAAUUAGGCAGGUAAAAUAUACAUAUCUGGCUCAAUAAAGAAAUGUCUAUAUUACUUUCAAGACUGAAUAAAACUACUAUCGCUUUGCAAACACACGAGGAAGUUCUAAGCAUCCAAUGUAAUGCACAAAAUAACACCCAACCCUCACACACACAUGACACAUAACUUACUCAGGAUUGGAUUCAUCAAGACACUCUAGUUAAAGUAGUUAAGCAAAUUUAAAAUCUUACAAUUUAAGGUACUUAUACAAUAGUCAAAUACUGAGCCUAAGCUUCACAACUAAAGUUCUCACUAUUCUCAAGGCAUAACAAAGUCAAAAGAUAUUGCUUAAAUUCAAAACACAACAUAAUGGAUCCUAUUCCUAAAAAAACUAACUACAUCCUAUUCAAAUAAAACCCUUGAGAAAAGAACCGUGACAGAAAGAAAAACCAAGGGGGAAUUGUUACACUACCUAAUUAAAGACUUCUUAUUUUAUUCUUUUCUUUAGACUUAAAUCCCUCAAGAAAAUUGUAUAAUAGAUCCAUCGUCGGGAAAAUUCCAAUAUUUUCUGUUUAGAAAAAAUUAUUCAAAUAAAUUAAUACAACUAAAAUAGCAUAGAAAGUCACCUAGACAAUCUCCUCACCCCACACUUAAAAUUGUGCAUUGUCCUCAAUGCACACCAUAACUAAUAAAAAGGUAAAAGAGACUCCCUAGUAGACCAAAGACCGAAGCACUAAUAGCUCAUGAGGUACUUAGACUUCUCCCAAGCUUGGUCCUUUGUGCGGGUACCUCACACUUAGUUCCAACAAUUUGGUUUGUUGUUGCAUCCUUCCAAUACCUUUGCUUUCCAUGCUCCUAGAAAAUAAAAAAUUGAUACUACAAAAAUAAUACUAUUUUAAAAAAUAAAAAAAUAAAUAAAAGAAAGCAAUAAAGUUGGGUUGCCUCCCAACAAGCACUUGAUUUAAUAUCGCGGCAUAAUUAAAAAAAUAAAAUAAAAGAAAGCAAUAAAGCAAGGUUGCCUCCCGACAAGCACUUGAUUUAACGUCACGGCACGACGCGAAUCACUUUUUGCCUCCACCUCGACCUUAUGAAUUGAACCCCCAAUUUGGCAUUAGGUUUUCGGCUAUGCUCCAAGGGUGGAGGAACAAGUCUAAUUGGCCCAAGCAACCAUUGUACUAUUAUAAACUUCUUGUCUUUUAGAUGAGGUAUGUAGUCAUGUCUUUCUAGCAAGAAAAAUUUCAGAACGUAGGCACCUUGUUCCUCAUUCCUUGACUUCUCAAUCAGUUUAGAUGGCUCUAUUUCCAUAUCGUCAUCCAAGCACAAUGUAGAAAAAUGUUUGGAGUGAGGACCAAUGCGCUCACAUACGUAAACUUCAGGACUUUCAACAUCCUCAACAUCAAUGAUACUAGAGUCAACAAAAUUUGUAUCCUCAAUGUCCUUGGAUGACUCUAGUCUCACUUCUUCAACAUUGACAUCCUCAAAUUCUAGUUGGUUAGAUUGUUGGUUUUCUACUCUUACCUCUUCCAUUUGCACCUCAAUUUCAGCAUCUAAUUCAUGAUCUUCUUGUAUACUAUCCACAAUAUUGGCUUGUUGAGCAUUAAAUACCUCAUCUAGUUGACUCACUUGUGCCUCUAGGUUGCCAAUAACAACAUUUUGCCUUUGUAUGUGCAGUUGUUUCUCAUCUUUUUGUUCCAAAAGGAACCUUAGCAUAUUCUUGACCUCUUUCAGGUCAUCAUCCCUGGGUUCUUUGUUCCUAUUAACUUCACAAGAAAAGGUAGCACAAUCAUAGCAAGGGAUUGGUGGAAAAUAAGAAAUAUAAGCAUAACCAUAAAAGUGACCAUAUUGACCACCACGCAUAUCACUUACAUUUCACAUAUUGGUGCACAUAACUCGCUCUUGGGAAUAUUUUGAUAAUUUUGCCAUAGGUGAUUUUCUCCACAAUAUGCAUAAGGAGGAUUAAAGGUAGAAUUACUCACAUCCAAAUUCCAAUAAUUCCAGGAUGCCAUAUUUCUCAAAUUAACAAGUAAAACAAAAAUAUAAAAAAAUGAAAUACAACAAAAGAAAAAUAAAAGUUCAAACUUGCAAUCUAGCAAUAUGUACACAUAUAACUACACCAUUAGUUCCCCAGCAAUGAUGCUAAAUUUUGAUCACGCCCAACUCUAGCCCUAAAAAGGAUAAGCAUUCGCUGCAAAUAUAAUCCGGUCUAGAAGCCCGGAGUCGAAUCCCACAGAGAACUAGGGCUUAGCUAUAUAUGUUUAAUAUCACCAAAAAGACAAGUUUGAACAAUUCUCUUAAUUAUAAAUAUUGAGAUUUAUACUUCUAACUAAUUACUAGCAAAUAUUACAAAGCGGUAUAAUUAUCAACUAACGAGACAAAGGGUUAGAGACUAAAUUAAGGAGGUCUAGAGUUAUUAUUUCUCCAAUGGUUGGAAUCCUUCUAGCUAUGUUCCCUGCAAUUUUUGCCAAUGUAUUCUCUACUGAUCGUGAGUACUUUAGGUGCCGUAAUUCUCUCUCGAGCAACCACAACAAUUAGUAGACAUAUUCUCUUGAACUAUGCUAGUUGGCUUUAUCUAAGAGCUGAUUAUGAUCACGUCAAUGCUUUGUUAUUUCUAAACCUGCCUUUAAACCCGGUGCAUUGAUUUCUCACAUAUGUUAGGAGUGAAGUUGUUCAACAACCACCAAAAUAUGUAUCCUUUCUUAAGAAACACAUAAUAAAUAGGCAAAGUCAAUCGAUGGCCAUUCAGUCAACAACAAUAAACACGUAGUUGAACAAGUAGAGAAAUCCAACGGCUCAAUUAUAUAAAAACAUAACAAGAAUUUAUCCUACAAAAGGUUCCAUCAAAAUCCUAGAUAACAAAUUAGCUAUCCAUAAUAGUAUGUAGAACUAUAAUACUAAAGUCAUAACCAACAAUGAAAAAAUAGGAAGAGGAAGAAAAAACUCGUAAAAGAAUCUCUGCCUUGCUCCUAUUGCGUCCCUGCCUCCUUAGGUCGAAUUUGUGUCCAAAAUCGGUCUCCUCCCCUCAAAAUACCAUUUUCCAUGUAUAUAUACAAAGUAGUGUCGGGCCCAAAUAAUUAUACUUUCUCCUAUGUAUAACGGACAUGUUUUCAGGCCUGGGAGGCGUGGUCCGGGCACGGCACGGAUGCAGUAUUUGGCAAGUAUACUGCCUCAGCCCGCCUCAGGUCCAUGGUCGCGGUUUCAACCGCAUUUUUCACCUUGUUUCGUUUGGAAUUUAGAGAAAUAUAAAAUAUGAAAGUUGUAUCCCUUUGAAUUAUCUUUUCAACCAUACAUUGUGGAGCUCAAAUGGAGUUCUAAGCAAAAGGUUAUGUGUAUUUUCCUAGACAAUAUACAACAUUCCUACUCGAUUCUUUAUUUUAUUGCUCUAUCAUCUGUUGAUCCCCGAAUACGAUCCCGACUCAAUUCCUUGGGCUUUUACUCAAACUUCAAAGCUCCAAAUUACUUGAAUUCAUUCCAUAUCAUUAUAUUGCUCGAAAUCACUCCUACAAGACAUAACACACAAUUAGUGUAAGAAACUAGCGAUUAAAACUCAAACUCAAUUAAAGUGAAGUAAAUUUGAGUGUAAUAAGCGAUUAAAAUACGUAAUUAUAGCCCAUCACCAUGCAUUUUGAUCAUUUUUUCUUUAUUUACCGUAUUAGCUUAGAAUUAAUUAGUUGAAUUAGUUAAUUGAAGUUAUAUUUACAUUAUGCAAUUACUUUGAAUUGAUUUGGACCAUUUGGAGUCAGAUACUCGUGGCAAGAAUGUGGUAUUGAGUUGAUUAAGUUGGUUCGAGGUAAGUGGCUUGCUUAACCUUGCAUGGGGGAACUCCCCUUAGGAUUUUGUAUUGUUGAUAUAUGAGAUACCUUGUAUGUAAGGUGAUGAGUGCGCACAUGCGCUAAUUGUUGAAAAUCAUGUUUUCAUUAAGUAACUAUAACUGAGUUUUUAUUUCCUAUUUAUGCUACAUGCAAUGUAAUCUUACUGUAAGCUUAGGGAAGCAUGUCUAAUUGACUUAAUUGCCUUACGUGCUGAAAUUGCUUAAUUGAAUUCCGUGUAACAUGCUAGGUUAGAAUUAUAUGCUUAACUUGGUAUGGAAUUUUGAUGGAAUUGAAUAUUCUUCGUAUUUCUACUAUGUGUUUACUUUGGGACUACGGGACAGUAUCCUGGGAGAUCCUCCAAUAUGCUUACUUUGGGACUACAGAUUUGUAUUUCGGGAGAUUCCUCUGCACUUUUAUAUUGGAACUACGAGACUGCACCCGGCAGAUUCCCCCAGUACUGGGUAUUUAUAUUUGGGACUACGGAUCGGGAUUCCGAUAGAUCCCCACGCAGUAUGAGUUGGACUAUGGGAUGGUAUCCCAAGAGAUCCAUUGGAUAUUUAUAUUUGGGACUAUAGGAUGGUAUCCUGGGAGAUCCCCCCUUGUUAUCUCUAUGUUGAGCUGUAUUCCUUCUGUAAUUAUUUUGUCUCUAUUGUAGUUGUUGUUGCUCUUAUUACCCUUUAUUACUUUCAUACUGCUUCUUUUCCUUAUAUAUUAUUGUAUAUGACUGUUAAGGCCCUGAAAUUCCUCGUCACUGCCCGACUAAGGUUAGGCUUGGCAUUUACUAAGUACCGCUAUGGAGUACUCAUGCCCUUUCCUGCACAUAUUUUUUAUGUGUAG